RNAcentral lists this long non-coding RNA (1235 nucleotides) under Homo sapiens (human). RNAcentral's name for it is "long intergenic non-protein coding RNA 221". Lineage: Eukaryota; Metazoa; Chordata; Mammalia; Primates; Hominidae. The record is from RNAcentral.
GGGGACUUCCUUUAUGUGGUACAGGGUUGGGCCUGGAGACCCGGAUGCCGGCGAGGUCCUGGCUGGGAGAGGCCGCCGCUGCCUUCAGGUUUCCGAGACAAUGGAGACUCUGAGAACAUCCAGAAAUAUCCACAGGACUGGCGAGGCUGUGGGCUUUCAACCACCACGAGAGGCUGUUUGCAUAUGAUUCUUCUAAAAUUGACAUCAGUGAAAUGCCUUGAAGAUAAUAAAGUGUUGAAGAAAUAAACAAAAUCAGAAUAUAUGGGAUCAGUUAGAAAGCUCUUAUUUAAGUAAUACAAACCAUGUCCUCAGAUGUCACAGAGCUCAGGUAUAGUCAAAAUUGUUUCUUGGAUGAAUCUCUGGAGAAGGAGAGUUGGCUCUGCAGAGAUGGAUCAUCGUGUGUGUCACCCUUGCAAUGUGUUCCUGACAGCCCAUGGAAGCGGGCUAGUGGAUUCAGCUCCAGCAGUAACUGUUGGUUGGGAUGGACAACCCAGAAAUGGGGCAUGUGAGGAAGAGAAAAUGAAAGUGGAUAGCCUGUUACCGAAAACUGCUGGACUAAGACACUUAUGUAAGAAUCUUGAGCAUUUCUUGUAAGGCCAGCCUGGAGGUGAUGGAUUUCCUGUUCAUGUUAGUCCGAUAAACAUUAUAUAUUUGUUAGUUUGUGAAUAAUAAUGUUUCUAGGUAUUAUAUUAUUGGCUGGAUACUUUUUUAUUUCAAUAUUUUGAAUAUACUAUCCUACUCUAUCAUGCUCUAUCUUUGUCUUUUGAUAAUUUGAGGAAAGCAUUCUUCAGAGAGGAUCUGUUUAGUUUCAGUCUGUUUGGAAUAUUUGAGUUUCCUGGAUCUGAAUAACCAUCUAUCUCCCAUGAUAUGGGACGUUUUCUGCUCUUGUUUUAUUAAAUAUGUUUCCUACAUCAUUUUCAUUUUUUUCCCUCUGGAAUUUUCCCCUGGAUUUUCCAUAACUCAAAAACUUGUUUUCAAAUUGUGUUUUGAAAACUAUAGGGUUUCUAUGUUUUUAAAAUUUUAUCUUCCUUCCUUCCUUCCUUCCUUCCUUCCUUCCUUCCUUCCUUCCUUCCUUCCUUCCUUCUCUCUUUCAUUCUCUUUUUUUUUCUUUUUGGUCUGCUGGAAUUAUUUUGAAAGACUUGUCUUCAAGCUCAGAAAUUCUUAUUUUUGCUCGUUAUUUUCUGUUAUUGAAUCUGUAAACUGCAUUUUUAUUUUAUUCAUUAAAUUCUUCAGCU